UACGUAGGGUCCGAGCGUUGUCCGGAAUUACUGGGCGUAAAGGGCGCGUAGGCGGCCCGCUAAGUCGAACGUGAAAUCCCCGGGCUCAACCCGGGAACUGCGUCCGAUACUGGCAGGCUUGAAUCCGGGAGAGGGAUGCGGAAUUCCAGGUGUAGCGGUGAAAUGCGUAGAUAUCUGGAGGAACACCGGUGGCGAAGGCGGCAUCCUGGACCGGCAUUGACGCUGAGGCGCGAAAGCCAGGGGAGCAAACGGG
This 253-nucleotide ribosomal RNA is filed under the name uncultured bacterium. Its description in RNAcentral is "partial 16S ribosomal RNA". It matches the Rfam family "Bacterial small subunit ribosomal RNA", at positions 524 to 776 of the family's 1533-position model. The record is from RNAcentral.